CUCAGCCUCCUGAGUAGCCGGACUACAGGCGCCGGCCACCCCACCGCGCUAAUUUUUUUGUAUUUUUUAGUAGAGACGGGGUUUUGUGUCCGGAAUUGGUGGGUUCUUGGUCUCACUGACUUCAAGAAUGAAGCCGCGGACCCUCGCAGUGAGUGCUACAGCUUUUAAGGUGGCGCCUUUGGAGUUUGUUCCUUCUGAUGUUCGGAUGUGUUCGGAGUUUCUUCCUUCUGGUGGGUUCGUGAUCUCGCUGGCUCAGGAGUGAAGCUGCAGACCUUCACGGGGAGUGUUACAGCUCUUAAGGUGGCACAUCUGGAGUUUGUUCCUUCUGACGUUCAGAUGUGUUCGGAGUUUCUUCCUUCUGGUGGGUUCGUGAUCUCGCUGGCUCAGGAGUGAAGCUGCAGACCUUCAGGGGGAGUGUUACAGCUCUUAAGGUGGCGCGUCUGGAGUUUCUUCCUUCUGGUGGGUUCGUGAUCUCGCUGGCUCAGGAGUGAAGCUGCAGACCUUCACGGAUCUCGCUGUGUUGCCCGGGCUGGUCUCAAACUUCUGGACACAAACAAUCCUCCACAUUGGCCUCCCAAAAUGCUGGAAUUACAGGUGUGAGCCACUGGACCAGCAGGACUCUAAAUUUUGACAACUUCAACUAAUGUUGAAUGCCAAAGUGUAAACGUUGAUCGUGUGACAAAUGUAAAUUGAUUCAUGAGGAGAGACUGUGGUUUGGUGCAAAGAAAGUGUUCUGGAAUUGGAAGAUCUGGAUCAGACUCAGGCUCUGUCAGAUAAUGGCUGUAUCAUCUUUGAAAAGUUAAGUAACUGUCUGGGGCUCUGUCUCUUUGUCUACUAUAUGAUGAUAAAAAUACCUAAUUUACACUGUUACUCUGAGAAGUAGAUGCUAAGUAAAAAGACCUUAGACAAAUUCUUAUCAUAUGGUAAAUACAUAGUAGUGGUUUAAAAAAUCAAAAAAGAGGCUUGAUGCAGUGGUUCACACCUGUAAUCCCAGCACUUCGGGAGGCCAAUGUGGGAGGAUUGCUUAAAGCCAAGAGUUCAAGGCCAGCCUGGGCAACAAAGUGAGACACACUGUCUGUACAAAAAACAAACAAACAAACAAAAAAGGAAUAAAGUUUUACAGAGGUAAUAUUUGGAAGUGAAUUUUUAAUUCAAUUAUGACUGGAUUUUUGUGCUUAUUUUUGCUUGUUUUUGUGUAGUCUACAUAAUGGUGACAUCUUUUUUCAGGCAAAACAAUCUACUAAUGAAAUCAGAAGGAUUUCCAGUGAUGCUGCCCACAUUUCUGUGAAAAAGAGGAAGUUUUUUAAGUCAGAUGGAAGUUACACUUUUUCAAAAAAAAAAAUAUGCAGGGAAGA
RNAcentral lists this long non-coding RNA (1355 nucleotides) under Homo sapiens (human). RNAcentral's name for it is "HSALNT0297102". The record is from RNAcentral. Lineage: Eukaryota; Metazoa; Chordata; Mammalia; Primates; Hominidae.